AGGUUAUUUAUAAGUCAGUUUGAGUGCCGAAUCAUUCGUGCUGCAUCGGAAGAUCAUUUAGUCCAUGAGCUUGGGAAGGGGUGGACUGCAGGAGCAACUAGCUUCCUAUAUUGGACUCUCGGCCCUGAUGAGA
Molecule: long non-coding RNA, 133 nt
Organism: Salvia splendens (bonfire salvia)
Lineage: Eukaryota; Viridiplantae; Streptophyta; Magnoliopsida; Lamiales; Lamiaceae
Exons: 2
Source: RefSeq, a predicted model, not a curated record